UCUUUAUGGAGAGUUUGAUCCUGGCUCAGGACGAACGCUGGCGGCGUGCCUAAUACAUGCAAGUCGAGCGGAUGAAGGAGAGCUUGCUCUCCGGAUUCAGCGGCGGACGGGUGAGUAACACGUGGGCAACCUGCCUGUAAGAUCGGGAUAACUCCGGGAAACCGGGGCUAAUACCGGAUGGUUCCUUCCUCCGCAUGGAGGAAGGCGGAAAGACGGUUUCGGCUGUCACUUA
RNAcentral lists this ribosomal RNA (232 nucleotides) under Bhargavaea ginsengi. RNAcentral's name for it is "partial 16S rRNA. Bacterial SSU". It matches the Rfam family "Bacterial small subunit ribosomal RNA", at positions 1 to 221 of the family's 1533-position model. The record is from RNAcentral. Lineage: Bacteria; Bacillati; Bacillota; Bacilli; Caryophanales; Caryophanaceae.